GACCACAACGUUGAUAGGUGGGGUGUGUAAGCGCAGUGAUGUGUUGAGCUAACCCAUACUAAUUACCCGUGAGGCUUAACCAU
This 83-nucleotide ribosomal RNA is filed under the name Aeromonas veronii. RNAcentral's name for it is "partial 23S ribosomal RNA". It matches the Rfam family "Bacterial large subunit ribosomal RNA", at positions 2843 to 2925 of the family's 2925-position model. Lineage: Bacteria; Pseudomonadati; Pseudomonadota; Gammaproteobacteria; Aeromonadales; Aeromonadaceae. The record is from RNAcentral.